RNAcentral lists this ribosomal RNA (411 nucleotides) under uncultured bacterium. RNAcentral's name for it is "bacterial SSU rRNA". It matches the Rfam family "Bacterial small subunit ribosomal RNA", at positions 355 to 794 of the family's 1533-position model. The record is from RNAcentral.
UGGGGAAUAUUGCGCAAUGGAGGAAACUCUGACGCAGCGACGCCGCGUGGGUGAUGAAGGCCUUCGGGUUGUAAAGCCCUGUCGGUUGGGAAAUGGUACCAGCAAAGGAAGUAGCGGCUAACUCUGUGCCAGCAGCCGCGGUAAUACAGAGGCUACGAGCGUUGUUCGGAAUUACUGGGCGUAAAGGGCGCGUAGGCGGUCUCGCAAGUCAGAUGUGAAUCCCGGGGCUUAACUCCGGAAGUGCAUUUGAAACUACGGGCUAGAGUGCAGUAGAGGUUGGUGGAAUUCCCAGUGGAGAGGUGAAAUUCGUAGAUAUUGGGAGGAACACCGGUGGCGAAGGCGGCCAACUGGGCUGUAAUGACGCUGAGGCGCGAAGCGUGGGUAGCAAACAGGAUUAGAUACCCUUGUAGU